AUUAAAAUGGCAGAUAAAUGCAUAGGAUUUAAGCUCCUAUUAUACUUUUAGUUUUUAAUA
RNAcentral lists this transfer RNA (60 nucleotides) under Coleolaelaps cf. liui XFX-2019. RNAcentral's name for it is "tRNA-Leu". Lineage: Eukaryota; Metazoa; Arthropoda; Arachnida; Mesostigmata; Laelapidae. The record is from RNAcentral.